CGCCGCUGUCCGGGGCGGGAACUUCCACUCCCCCCUCCCAGGUGGAUCCGAAAUUCUCUACCCACUUCUCCACGCCCUCACGCGGCGGGCCAUAAUCUCAAGUCCAACGGCUGAGUGGAAAGUGAGCAUCCUCAUCACAAUUUUGCCUUUCAUAGUAGUGCUUCUGAAGUGCCAUCGUGUGACUUUGCCUCUCAAGACGUAGAGUCCUCUCCCUUGAAUCUGGGCUGGGCAGUGGAAUGCAGCCAAAGUGGUGUAUGACCUCCAAGACUGGAUGAGAAGUUUACAGCCUAACCUGCUCUUGCCCCUGAUGUCUCCUUUGAGAAUCCAGCUGCUUGCUCCGAGAAUCCCAAGCUAGGAGGAGAGGCUACACUGAAGCGUAAACACCCAGACAGAAUGUGUUCCAGAGUUUUGGCUAGGCUGUUUCUAUCAAUAAUGGCCUUUUGGGUCUGUCCUAAGACCUUCUACCACAAAGGUUCUACUUGACGUGGAAAGAGCAUAAGCAUUGCGUCUUCAAGAGGGAGUUUUCUUAUUCAAGUCUGUAA
This is a long non-coding RNA of Prionailurus viverrinus (fishing cat), 542 nucleotides long. RefSeq lists it as uncharacterized. NCBI's taxonomy places the organism in Eukaryota, Metazoa, Chordata, Mammalia, Carnivora, Felidae. The record is from RefSeq and is a predicted model, not a curated record. The transcript has 4 exons.